Molecule: unclassified non-coding RNA, 189 nt
Filed under: Glomeromycetes sp.
Lineage: Eukaryota; Fungi; Glomeromycota; Glomeromycetes
Description: partial contains 5.8S ribosomal RNA and internal transcribed spacer 2
Rfam family: 5.8S ribosomal RNA (bases 1-71)
Source: RNAcentral
GUGAAUCAUCAAAUCUUUGAACGCACAUUGCACUCUCUGGUAUUCCGGAGAGUAUGCCUGUUUGAGGGUCAGUUUAAAUAAAAACCGGCGUGUCUGCUGCGUUUCGUGGUGACGCACUGGAUUUGGGUCGUUUCGCCUUCGGUCAAGUGACCUAAAAUUUUUCAUGAUCUAUUCGAACGAACUUAUGUG